UACGGAGGAUGCAAGCGUUAUCCGGAUUUAUUGGGUUUAAAGGGUGCGUAGGCGGAAGAAUAAGUCAGUGGUGAAAUCUUGCAGCUUAACUGUAAAACUGCCAUUGAUACUGUUUUUCUUGAGUAUAGUUGAGGUAGGCGGAAUGUGUAAUGUAGCGGUGAAAUGCUUAGAUAUUACACAGAACACCGAUUGCGUAGGCAGCUUACUAAGCUAUAACUGACGCUGAGGCACGAAAGCGUGGGUAGCGAACAGG
Molecule: ribosomal RNA, 253 nt
Filed under: uncultured bacterium
Lineage: Bacteria
Description: partial 16S ribosomal RNA
Rfam family: Bacterial small subunit ribosomal RNA
Source: RNAcentral